Molecule: long non-coding RNA, 2289 nt
Filed under: Coffea arabica (coffee)
Lineage: Eukaryota; Viridiplantae; Streptophyta; Magnoliopsida; Gentianales; Rubiaceae
Description: long non-coding RNA (CARA_LNC004888)
Source: RNAcentral
CGUUAUGCUUUGCCAUAUCCAUGAUGCAUUUUGGUGGACCUUGCAGUUGAAGAUUGUCUCUUUUAGGAAGUACUUUGUUUUCAAAACUUUCUUUACUAGGGAGUUGGGCCUUGUUAUCAGCCUCCAGACUUGUUUCCCUAAUAAUGCUUUGUUAAAAUUCAGCAAAUCCUUGAAUCCUAAGAUGGGGCACCACAAUUACAAAUAGUUUCUUUACUUGCUUAGCAUUUGAUAAGGUCUGGACCAAGCACACCAGAUGUUUCCUGUUUUAAUUCCAUUUUUUGGGUUUUUGUACAGCAAUAAUAUAAAACUCUAAUAUUUUUAAGAUGUGACAUAUGUAAAGUAAAAAAUAAUAAUAAUUAAACAUGCAUAAAAUUUCUAGGAAUAAAUAAUUAGAUAUUUAGAAAAAAUUGACCUAUAAAGUGCUACAUUGUUGACAAAAAAUUUACUACUUAUUAACUGCAUUCAAUUGAGUCGUUCAACAUAUGCUUUGCUUUGCAUGUCUGUUUCAUCGAUAGUAGAAACACUAAUGUGUCAAUCAAUCAUCCUUAAUCUCAUCGCCUGCUCAAUUAAUCACCGGAUACUAUUCUAGUCAAACCAACAUGCCAUGAUUUUUUCUAAUCGAUCGUGCUAUUAGCGUCAGGCUCUUCUUAUUAUGUGCAAUUAGAGCCCAAACAUUUACAUGCAAAACAUUGGGGACCUUACUUUUAUUGCAUGCCCGUAAUAGAAGAAGCCUUAUUAUCAUCAUCAUGACCCAAGGGCUAAUAUGCACUUACCUCCACCGGACAUUGGCUUCGAAGGUUCGGGUCGCCGGGCGGACGACUUUGCAGUUUGCACAGACCGUUGCUUCUUGUAUUUGACUUGCAUGUCCCCGGUACCCCACAUUUACUAUACACCGGCGUCCUGUCCCGAAAUCUGCACAUCUUGGAUUGAAUUUGACGAGGACCCGCUAAUCCAUUAAUAUCAUAAGGACCAGUCUUUUUUUUUCCUUUUCAAUUGUAGUUUUGAGAAUGUGACCUUUAGACGUAUACUUACCUACAUAGUUACAGCUACACUAAAUGCGAUAAUGCUAAACGGAGAAAUUUUCCUCAUUUGAGCAAGCUAUGGAGACAGAUUAAGGGACUUGGUCUUUUCUAUACAAAGGUCUACCCGCACGGCAUCCUUCCUACAUUCAUGACUGUUUCGCGUGUGUGGACUAAAUGAGAGUUCAUAGCAUAACAGUAAUAUCAUUUCAAAAUCGACUCAUUUGCUGUGCCCCAAAAUUUGAAGUUCAAAGAAGAAUGAAGUCUAACAAUAAGUCUCCUCAUCAUUCUCACCCUUUAUCUACUGCAGUUACAGAAAAAAAAAAUAGAUAUGUUAAGCAAGAAUUCAUUGGAUUCUCGAAAUUCAUCAAGAAUUAAAGCAGCUCGCCAACGAAGUAACUAGUGCUCCUAGGCUUGGCUUUGGCACGAAGUAGUUAGUAAUGCACCCUCUGAAAAUGGCAAAAUGCAUGCAUAUCAGCAGCUCCUCCUAUCAUUCAUUAUUCCACAGUCCAGCAUCAAUAUUACGGCAUUGAUAUAUGCCAUACACAGACUUCUACGCCAGUUAGAAACGAAAUUAGUGUAGUAGGGCUAAUUCUUUGGGUGAAUUUUUACUAGUCAACAAUCGAGCAUUCCUUAGCGUUUUGGAAGUGCAUUUCAGCUAUUAUUAAACUGUAUUCAUGGUUUGGGGAACAGCGAGACCUGACGUUCCAGAAGCAGUUUAGAUAGUCGACUUGAAAAGUCUAAGAAGCCAAACAUGACUGGGAAGUUUUAGGAGAAAAACGUGUUGAUAGGCUUAGAAGAAAAACAGGGUUUAGUCCGCUGAUUUUGCAUGAGGACCAUCGUGUUGGUCAACUUAUUCACUUGGUUCUGUGACUUUGGCUGUAGUCAACUAGCAUCAUUUGGAUCUAGUGCAAUGCACUUAAGUGAGGCAGCUGAGAGAAAAUAAGAAUUUGUGCUGUGUAAACUCAACUGUGUCAUUUAGUUUUGAAAGCAUUUUAGUUUCUCUUUUUACAUGUUUCCAUGCAUAUAUGAACUUGUUUCCAUGUAUAUUGGGUUCUUCACUUUCCGUUGUUUCAAGUUCGGUUGCUUCACUUUCACUAGCGUAAGCUACCAUACUCUGCCUCUGCCUUUGGAUAUGAAUACUUAACCCUUUGUGAUCAAGAAGAUUAUGGCUGUUUUUCUUUUUUCCCGGGAAACACAAUAUCCUAACCGAAAUAAAUCAAGAAUAAGAAAGAAAAAGAAAAAGUAGAGGGGGAUGGGGAUGGGGACC